This 406-nucleotide ribosomal RNA is filed under the name uncultured bacterium. RNAcentral's name for it is "partial 16S ribosomal RNA". It matches the Rfam family "Bacterial small subunit ribosomal RNA", at positions 28 to 526 of the family's 1533-position model. The record is from RNAcentral.
GACGAACGCUGGCGGCGCGCCUAACACAUGCAAGUCGAGCGAGCGGCGAACGGGUGAGUAACGCGUAGGAACCUGCCUAUUACAACGGGAUAGCCUCGGGAAACCGGGAUUAAUACCGUAUAGUAAGAGAUGGCCGCGCGUAUGAUUAGUUAGUUGGUGGGGUAACGGCCUACCAAGACGACGAUCAGUAACCGGCCUUAGAGGGGGAACAGUCACACUGGAACUGAGACACGGACCAAACUGCGACGGGAGGCAGCAGUGGGGAAUCUUGCACAAUGGGGGCAACCCUGAUGCAGCCAUGCCGCGUGUGUGAAGAAGGUCUUCGGAUUGUAAAGCACUUUAAGUUGGGAGGCGUUACCAACAGAAGAAGCACCGGCUAACUUCGUGCCAGCCGCCGCGGUAAUUC